Cottoperca gobio is the source of this 1948-nucleotide long non-coding RNA. RefSeq lists it as uncharacterized. The record is from RefSeq and is a predicted model, not a curated record. NCBI's taxonomy places the organism in Eukaryota, Metazoa, Chordata, Actinopteri, Perciformes, Bovichtidae. The transcript has 5 exons.
CUUCUCCCGAGUUCCCCGUCUGUCCUUGGGCACAUGGACCCUGACCCGUCCUCUUAUGGAGCCCAUCUCUUCGCCUCGGUGACUCAAAAAGGUCUCAAACUGCUCGGAUGCACCGGGUACAAAAACAAUGACGGCACCUGUUUUGGAGCCGAGCUGUGAUGUCACUCCCACUUGGAACGUGGCAAAAACAGGCGAGUGAUCACUUGUGAAGAUGUCAUCGGUGCAACCUGAUCUUACCAUAUGCAGUGCAGAUGAUGUGUGUCUCUGGAGGUCAGGUGGCAGUUAACAAACCCAAAAGAUGUUCCGCUGAAGAGGAAGGAGACACCGACAGCUCCCUUGUUUCCUGAAACAACAGAAACACUCAACCUCAAACCUCCAGGGUUUUCCUGAGUCCCCAAGGCGUAGAUGUCAUGAGGGAGCAAGGCGGUCGAGUUGUCAGGGGUGUGCCCCAAACCGCAGCAGGUCACCCACGUCUGCAGGCUUCGAGGAGGAGGGGAACCACCUGUGUACACAAAAUAACACAACAACUAAUAAGAAAAACUUCUCCCUCUAAUUCAAUUUCUGUUGCCUGACAGUGGAAGAGACAUCUAUGGUUACCCAUGUUCCAGGUGCCAACAAACACAGAGAUCACGUCAGAUUCACUCAGCUGAGAGUGCCUGGUUUUCAUCAGCUGGAGGAGUUGGCAGAAGGCAUCGCGUUUCUGAAAGAGAUGAGAGCCACGCGGUGAAUCAUGGGAAAGAAAACAGUGGAUACCAGUCAAUAAUAAAGCCAUUAUUCCUCGCUAAAUUACUACUUUCCUUACCCGUGCACUCUCAAACGUCAUCUCGCGUGGUGUGUUGUGGUGGCUGUCGACCACCAUGCGUACUUUGGCCGAACUGCUCUGGAACUUGACAAUCUGAAGGACUGAUACACAAGAAACAUGCCAGCAGACAAUUAUACAACAUAACUGCAAGCAAGAGAAGUGUUACUGGCUCUGGUUCUUACUUCUGUCGUGCGAGACCCUCUCGAUACCAAAUGAACCAGCCUUCCUGUCAAAGAGCAGCACUCCUGUGUCCACAUCCACAGAAACAGUCUGUCUGCCAUACCUCACCAUCUUUACCUGGACGCACCAAGAAAGACAACCGUUAAUACAUUUACAUAGUCAGAAAAUUGUGAAAGAAAGGUCCAUCUCAGUUUCUUAAAGUCCAAGUCUUUAAAUGUUUUGUUUUGUCAGUCCAAAACUCAAAGAUAUUCAGUUUAAAAUGAUAUAAAAUAGAGAAAAACAGGACAUCUCCAUAUUUGAGAGGCUGGAAACAGCAUUUUCUGCCAUUUGUGCAUGAAAACUUACUUGAACGAUAAUAUUUGGUGUUUAGUCGAGUUAUCGUUGCAGCUCUAGUCAGAUCAGUUGUAUGAUUUGUCUUAUUGCAAGUCAUAUUUGAUAAAAAGUUACUUUUUCAACCUGAUUUACCUGAAAGGAGUGGACUGGCAGCUGUCUGGCAUGGUUCUUGACAGGUGUUACGAUGAUGGGUGUUGGUUCCGGAGGGGGAAGGCUUGGCUGCACUGCCAGAUUGUGAUUUGUCACCGCAUCUUGCAAUGCUUUUAACACCUUUAUGAGCGGAGAAUCUGCAGUGUUACAAUCUGACCAGUGUUGUCCAUCACAAACAAGAUUUCAUUCUGUCAUUGUGAAAGCAUCAUCAAUAACCACUGCCACUAAAAGUUACAAAGCUGUGAGCAAUAGUAUUGCCAGAAAUCACUGCAUUAUCACUCAUGCAUCCUGCCAUUAUCAUGACAAGCUGUAAAAACCUUGUGUAGUUUCCCAAGCAUACCUUUUUCUCCAAUGAAGACAGAAGGCUGACCAAAGCUGAAAUCUUACACAACAGACUGUCCAUCUCCAUCUCUUGGCCCUUGUUCCAAAAACACAAAACAUAAAGGUGCAAUGAGUUGAUGUAUAUGAGUGUAUAAUAAAGCA